UGGCUGGGAGGGCCUCAGGAACGAAGCCUUUGUCUUUGCUCAGGUGUGUUCUCACAAUGGGGAGCCACGGCCCUCCCCAAGGACCAGCGAGCAAUGGGCGCAUCUCAUUCGCUGCCUGCAUUUGCCCCCGCCCAUCCAAGAGAGCAGAAUCAGAGAGGGUGAAGGCGUCCCAGCCAAGGCUGUGAGAAAGCACUUGAGAACCGUAAGAGCAGAAAGGCAAGGCAAGCUACCAGCUUCUUGGACCAACCGCCUUUUGUCCUUGCUCAGGGGAAUACAAGCUUUCUUUCUCCAGACACUGCAAGCGUCCGCAAGUUCUUCCCUUUAAAAGGGAUUAUGAAGGAAAUCUCGUUUCAGAAUUGCUGCUGCUUUUGGCAAUCUGCAAUAUUAGCCUGAUGAGGAAUUACACUCGCUAAUGAAAUCUCGCAAGUUGGGUUGAGUCUAAUUGUUGCUAGUGCUCGUAGUAAUAACCUUUCUUGGGGACUUCUGUGCCUGCGCAUCCCUCGCUUGGCUACAGCCCAUGUGGAAAAUCAAUUUCCUCUAAAUGUUUGAAGAAUGGCACAGAAGGACCUGAUUUCUUUUCCCUCUGCUGGAGUCAAUCUGGAGACAGUGAGCCUAUAAAAUGAAUGAAAAUAGCUACGAUUGCAAGAUGCAGGGUGGAACGCCGAGCUAAGCUAAGCAGAGCUGAUCGCACACUCCAAGUUCCAGCUUUUUGUCCUAAGGCCAGAGACAAUAUACAUUCGUGUCCCAAAUUGAUGGGCUCUUAAAAAGUCACAGAACAGAAAGGAUUUUACUUCAACCUGGCAAUUUCACUUCUAGGAAUCUCUCCCGCAGAAAAACUCCCAGGAGAAUGCAGGACUGUAGGAACCUGGUUUGUGACGGUGAAAAAUUGGAGGCAAGAGAAUUAUCUGACAAUGAGAGACUGGUUAAAAAAAAAUGGUGGUAGAUCCAUGCUCUGUAGCCAUUAAAAAGAAAGAGCUAAAUCUGUGUGAAUUCAUAUGGAAGGAUUUUUACGGUAUGGUAUUGGGUGGAAAAAAGCAAGUUACAGACAUACAUAGUAUGGGUUCACUUUUGUAAAAAAAAACCUUCAACAACAAUGUGCACAUUUAUACGUAGAUGUUUGUACAUGAGUAGAGAAAGAUCUGAAAGGGUACACACCAAGUUGUAGAUGGUGGUGGCUAAACUCAGGAG
Molecule: long non-coding RNA, 1188 nt
Organism: Equus quagga
Lineage: Eukaryota; Metazoa; Chordata; Mammalia; Perissodactyla; Equidae
Exons: 3
Source: RefSeq, a predicted model, not a curated record